RNAcentral lists this transfer RNA (70 nucleotides) under Echinaster brasiliensis. RNAcentral's name for it is "tRNA-Met". It matches the Rfam family "tRNA". From Rfam's summary of the family: Transfer RNA (tRNA) molecules are approximately 80 nucleotides in length. Their secondary structure includes four short double-helical elements and three loops (D, anti-codon, and T loops). Further hydrogen bonds mediate the characteristic L-shaped molecular structure. tRNAs have two regions of fundamental functional importance: the anti-codon, which is responsible for specific mRNA codon recognition, and the 3' end, to which the tRNAs corresponding amino acid is attached (by aminoacyl-tRNA synthetases). tRNAs cope with the degeneracy of the genetic code in two manners: having more than one tRNA (with a specific anti-codon) for a particular amino acid; and 'wobble' base-pairing, i.e. permitting non-standard base-pairing at the 3rd anti-codon position. The record is from RNAcentral. Lineage: Eukaryota; Metazoa; Echinodermata; Asteroidea; Spinulosida; Echinasteridae.
AACAAGGUAAGCUAAGUAAGCUUUUGGGUUCAUACUCCAAAAAUAGGAGAUAAGAUUCUCCUCUUUGUUU